GUGUCUCUGGCCUAGUGGUUUGAGUGCUGAACUGUGACUCUAGAGACCAGGGUUCGAUUCUCAGUGGCCACA
Non-coding RNA from Phrynosoma platyrhinos (Desert horned lizard), 72 nucleotides. NCBI's taxonomy places the organism in Eukaryota, Metazoa, Chordata, Lepidosauria, Squamata, Phrynosomatidae. The record is from the annotation of a GenBank genome assembly.